AGAAGUUGCGGACUAGUAGCUGAGGCGGCACGGGAGUGUAGGCGCGCGGGGUCGUUGCCGGGGGCACAGAGUGAGAACAAGCAAGGGAGCCCUGCUGAAUUGCAGCUUAGGAAGCCCUGAAUCCUGGAGAUAUGUUCCUGACCCUUCCUUCUUGAAGGGACAGCUGUGUAACCAUUCAACCAUCUGGCCAUCAGUUUCCACAUCUGUGAAAUCAACUUCUGCCUCAUGGAGCCGUGAGUUCCCAAGUGAAGGCAGUGAGGGGCUGUGGUGUGAUCCAGGAGGCUGAGAAUUAUGCAGUGGGUGCUGUCACCUUGAAGACAUCAGCGUGAUCAGGCAGAUCAUCAUGGUACUGCAUUUCCUGGACACGAUCUUAAUUUUCUUAAUACCUCCACCGACAUUUCAAAUAGCGUCUCUAAUGCCCCAGAGACUUUUAUGCCCCUAAGGUAGUUUUCUUUCUUUUGUGAAGCAGAAGAAGGGAAAUUGUUAAAGGGAAUAUUUUAACUAAAUUUAUUUCCAUAAAACUAUCUUUGUCUUUAUAUCUCAUGGAAAGUGUUAGGUAGCCUCAGGAUUAUAUCUCCGUUGGAAAACUGUAGAUGUAAACCUUCUUGCUAUCUACAUACUUACAUAUUUUUCUGUUGUUAUUUACUUAUGAAUAGCAUUUUGAUUAUAGCAGAAAUAAAAUACAUUAAAUGACUAAGCUCAGAAAUAAGAAAAAAAGGUCAAUGGUGAUCAUUUAUUUGGAAACUAUGAUAUUUUAAUGAUAUUAAUGGUGUAAUUGACAUUUAGUUAAACAUAUUUCAUCGUAAGUAGAGCACUUUAACUCUUACGGUCCACUUAAAAUGUAAUCAUACGUUUAUGUAUUUCUAGUUAAUGUAUCAAACUCAACUGAGUAAUCAAUGUACAUCAUUUAUUUUGCUCCUAAGUUAAUACACUAAGUUAUGCUUUAAAAUUACUAAUUUGCUGCAAUAUCCAAUACUCUCUUUUAAGUCUUACGUCUGCAGAAAAGGAUAUAAACAUUUCAUGACACCAAACCCAAGUAUUUUUGAUGCCCUUGGCAGUGUCAGUUGAACAGACAGUGUCAUUUAAUGUUUGAGACAGCAUCUGAAUUCCUUUUAUUCUUAAAAUUCUAUUUUAAAAUGCAGUUUUUGGAAAGUUAAUGUGAAUAGAAAAAUUUCUAACAUUUUAUGUGCAUGUGUUUUGUUUGUUACAGGCUUAGCAUCUCAAAUCUGAAAAUUCGAAAUCUGAAAUGUUUCUAAAAUUCAACUCUUUUGAGUGCUGAUAUGACUUUCAAAGGAAAAGCUCAUUGGAGCAUUUCAGAUUUUGGAUUUUUGGAUUUGGGAUGUUUAACCAGGGUAAAAUAUAGAAUGCAAAUAUUCCAAAAUCUGAAUAAAAUUGAAAUCUGAAAUGCUUAUGGUUCCAAGCAUUUUGGAUAAGGGAUAAUUAAGCUGUAUAACUUAUAAAACUGAAUAUAACAAAAUUUCCCAACAUGUGGAAAAUGAUGUCUUUUUUCAAAAAUGUCAAUAGCAGAUACAUGGUACAGUAAGUUAGGGGAAAAAAUGAGGUUUCAUAUCUUCUAGUUUCCUAAUUAAAAGGAGCCCAUUCUGGGUUGGAAGAAAGUGUCAGUAAGAUCAUUUCUCCUAUUUGAAAAUCAUACAAAGCUUGUCAGAGUGACUCAGGCCAGGAGUGUAGCUGGGCGUGUAGCUAAAUGAUAUCUCCCCACAUCUAUAUAAUAAGCUGUUACCUGCUUUAAAAGGAAAAGCUCUCAGCAUGACUCUAAUGUUGCAUUUCUGGAAUACAGCUUGAAAAGCUCUUCUCAGGGUUGAACAGAGCAUGAAGGUAAUGGUUAUUAUCUACUCACAUUAAAAAAAAAAAAAAAGAAAGAAACCACCACAGAAAACUACUUACUGUCUUUAGGCUCUACUUUCAAAAGUGCCCUUUAUGAACGCUUUUACACUGUUGAUGGGAGUGUAAAUUAGUUCAACCAUUGUGGAAGACAGUGUGGUGAUUCCUCAAGGAUCUAGAAUCAGAAAUACCAUUUGACCCAGCAAUCCCAUUACUGGGUAUAUACCCAAAGGAUUAUAAAUCAUUCUAUUAUAAAGACACAUGCACACGUAUGUUUAUUGCAGCACUGUUCACAAUAGCAAAGACUUGGAACCAACCCAAAUGCCCAUCAAUGAUAGACUGGAUAAAGAAAUUGUGGCACAUACACACCAUGGAAUACUAUGCAGCCAUAAUAAAAGAUGAGUUCAUGUCCUUUGCAAGGACAUGGACAAAGCUGGAAACCAUCAUUCUCAGCAAACAAGAACAGAAAAUCAAACACUGCAUGUUCUCAGUCUAAGUGGGAGCUGAACAAUGAGAAAACAUGGACACAGAGAGGGGAACAUCACACACUGGGCCUGUUGGGGGGUAGGGGGCUAGGGGAGGGAUAGCAUUAGGAGAAAUACCUAAUGUAAAUGACAGGUUAAUGGGUGCAGCAAACCACCAUGGCAUGUGUAUACCUAUGUAACAAACCUGCAUGUUCUGCACAUGUAUCCCAGAACUUAAAGUAUAAAUAAAUAAAUGAAUAAAUAAAUAAAUUUUAAAAAGUG
Molecule: long non-coding RNA, 2588 nt
Filed under: Homo sapiens (human)
Lineage: Eukaryota; Metazoa; Chordata; Mammalia; Primates; Hominidae
Description: non-protein coding ARHGEF26-AS1:23
Source: RNAcentral